GCUGCCAUUGAGGAGCAUUUACUCAGUGAGUGCAAGAGGUUUGUUUGAAACAGACCGCAAUGGAGAGAUCAGCGCCCAGGGAAGCGAGGGAACAGCAGGCUCCUUCCAGCAGCACAUCGGGAUGAGAGCCUGGGACACAGAGGGGGCUCGGAGACCGGGAUUGAUUCGGGACAAAUACCUGAGGGACUAAGACACUGUGAUACUUCUUCGGUUCAAAGGGAAGUGGGACCAGCUGCCUUGAGCAAACAGCAGAGGAACAGAACAGACAUGCAGAGCUAGAAACACAUCAGCAUAACAACGAGCAAAAGGAAACCGAGCCAAUACCACAGUCACUUUCUGUAUCGCAGACACAAAACAAAUCUCCCUCAGUCAGACUGACAGGAACAGAAUCACGAGUCAAUUCACGUUUCGUAGCAAUUCCACUUUGAAUCUCACACUAACCAAUCAGAGCGACUCUAUGUUUGGGAUUGAAUCUGUGUAAACUAGCCAAUCAGUAAAAAGGCUUUCCCAUCCCUCAUUAGCAUUGAUGACGCCGUCAGUCUAUAAAGAAGGAGGUCCGAGCCAGCUUUCCCUUAUUCUGUGUCUGAAAGUGAGCAGGACGAUGGCUGAUGAGAAGAAAGCCCAGCAAACCUCCAAGAAGGGCGCGAAGAAAAUCAUUAAGAAGGCGCCAGCAAAGGGCAACAGAAAGAGGAAAAGGUCCAGGAGAGAAAGUUAUUCCAUCUACAUCUACAAAGUGAUGAAGCAGGUUCACCCCGACACCGGCAUCUCCUCCAAGGCCAUGAGCAUCAUGAACUCGUUCGUCAACGAUAUUUUCGAGCGUAUCGCGGGGGAGGCUUCCCGCCUGGCCCAUUACAACAAGCGCAGCACCAUAAGCUCCCGGGAGAUCCAGACCGCCGUGCGGCUGCUGCUGCCAGGGGAGCUGGCCAAGCACGCCGUGUCGGAGGGCACAAAGGCGGUGACCAAGUACACCAGCUCCAAGUGAAGGACCGCACUGCACUGAAACAAACACAUCCACAACCCAAAGGCUCUUAUAAGAGCCACCCACAACAUCCCUGAGACGGCUGGACCAUUUCUUUAAGAAUUGUUUGUUUUAGUUCGUGAUUAUUGAUAGAGCAAUUUAACUUCUCGCGCUAUAUGUUUGACUUAAUAAGUGCUUUUUUGCAAAUUAUUCGGGAGUGGGGUGGACGAGAGCAGAUCAGGCGCCAGUGAGUCAUUUUUAAUCUUGUUUACCCCUGGCAGAAAAAUGCCCACGUCCUUCACCCCCACAUUGAUGCAUUUUACCUUCUGAUUUACUUUACAUUUCCAAUGCGCAGGUUUGAUCCGACUUUUCGCUCUACAAAAUAACAUUUCAUGCUGUCGGUGAGAACUACCAAAGUGAACCAAGAGAACACCAACACAGCUACCGGACAGAAACGUGGAGCUUUUGCUGAAUCUGAUCGAGAUCGAUAAGGGAGAACAGCUUUAAAAUAUCGCCUGAAAAAAAACAUGUUCGCCCUCGAUGCUGAACCGGAAGAAUGCUGUGUGCUGUUUUAUCAGCAUAUCGGGGUGGGAUUGAAAUGUGAAAAGGAAAGACGGGUUGCAGACUGCGGUGUUUGACCUGUUUUGUUUCAACUGCUUCUUAAGGUUUAGAAAAUAACCCACUCUCAAGAUCAGAAAUGGACAGAUACUGAUCGGCAAAUGAGGGAGAGUAAGACCGUGUGAAGUACACAUUUGUCAACUAAAAGUGGUGUCCCUGUGUCUUCCUCCAGAAAAACACCUGAGGGACUAAGAUGCUGUAAAACUUCCUCAGUUCAAAUCACAGAGUAACCAGCUGUCUCCAACAAACGGAAGGCAAGUACUCAAAGGACCAAGACAAUGUGCAGAGCCAAGUGUGACCAGCUGCUUCGAACAAACAGCAGAUGCUGCCAGACCUACUGAGUGUCUGAGGCAAUUUUGAGAGUGUUCAUGUCAGGUCUUCAGCUGCACUCCAAUGAAGAACAAGCAUGGAUCAUGGAUGAAGAAUGGAUUACCUGGCACCGUGAGGUAGAUGGAAUUACUGGUCACAUUAGAUAUUAUUCCACUGGGACCCCUGUUGAUCACGAGACACUGGUACCAGCCUUUGUACUGGGACUGGAAGGAUUCAAUGGCCUUCUGUCCUGUCUGAGCUAGAGUUGUAAUUCCCGCUGGCAUUGUUUAAGGCUUUCUGUUGAAAGUAGGGUCCAGUACCUCGGCUCAGUACACAAUCUGAAACGAGACAACUCCCAAACAGAACCUCCAUUUUAAUGGCUCUUGGGGUGAGGAAAACCCCAGCAAUAGGAACUGAAACAAAACAAGACAAAGAGGAAAUGAAAGAAAGAUCAGACGCUGAAAUUGUCUCUCUUAUCACAAUGUUACCUUCGAUGACUGGAUAAUAAUUGAUGGAAAGAAGAAAUAAAACAAGCGAGAUUUCACAUCAUCACAAAGUCUCCCUAUGUUGUAAAAUCUACACUUUGAAAGAUUUCUGUUAACUAUGGAUGGCCAAAUGGUACAUCAGCCAACCAUGGCCUCUUGAUGUUCAAUGGUGUUACCAUCACUGUCCCCACCUCCACUCCACUAUCAACAUCCUGAAGUUUACCGUCACUGCCCCCACCCUCUUCCCAUGAACAACAUCCUGAGGGUUACUGUUGGGAAAGUUGACAUGGUUUGCCUGGAAGCCAUUUUCCUAAUCUGGCUGAGAAACCAUUUUGUGUCCCCAGAACUUUGCUGGCUGUGCAUUCCUUACUCUUAGGAAGAUAAGGCCUAUCUUUCACGUUACCUAAGGUGUCAAGUUAGUGUUUUUACCACUUUGAUGAAUGAUUAGGGCAGGCUGUAGAACGAGUCAAGUGGACAAGUCAAUUAGUCCCACUUCCUUUAUGUGUUAUCGCCACUUCACGGUCGUUCAGCGAAUUAGGGACAUCUCUGCUUCCUGUUAGUAAUCUGAGUAAAUACUUGUGGAAUGCAUAAUGGUGCUUAGUUUUGACCCUAAUGACUAACCUCUAAUUUUGUACCAAACUGUGUAAUCAACAAUCAGCCUCUGUCUGCUUUCUCUAUAUAAUCCUGUCGUAUUCAGUGCUAUCUGAAUAGCAUCGAGCAACAGUUAGGAUGUUGAA
RNA transcript from Hemiscyllium ocellatum (epaulette shark), 3107 nucleotides. It is a transcript of the gene named late histone H2B.L4-like, with no coding region annotated. NCBI's taxonomy places the organism in Eukaryota, Metazoa, Chordata, Chondrichthyes, Orectolobiformes, Hemiscylliidae. The transcript has 6 exons. The record is from RefSeq and is a predicted model, not a curated record.